GGCGUGCUUAACACAUGCAAGUCGAACGGUGAAGCAGAGCUUGCUCUGUGGAUCAGUGGCGAACGGGUGAGUAACACGUGAGCAAUCUGCCCCUGACUCUGGGAUAAGCGCUGGAAACGGCGUCUAAUACCGGAUACGAGCUGCGACCGCAUGGUCAGUAGCUGGAAAGAAUUUCGGUCAGGGAUGAGCUCGCGGCCUAUCAGCUUGUUGGUGAGGUAAUGGCUCACCAAGGCGUCGACGGGUAGCCGGCCUGAGAGGGUGACCGGCCACACUGGGACUGAGACACGGCCCAGACUCCUACGGGAGGCAGCAGUGGGGAAUAUUGCACAAUGGGCGCAAGCCUGAUGCAGCAACGCCGCGUGAGGGAUGACGGCCUUCGGGUUGUAAACCUCUUUUAGCAGGGAAGAAGCGAAAGUGACGGUACCUGCAGAAAAAGCGCCGGCUAACUACGUGCCAGCAGCCGCGGUAAUACGUAGGGCGCAAGCGUUAUCCGGAAUUAUUGGGCGUAAAGAGCUCGUAGGCGGUCUGUCGCGUCUGCUGUGAAAACCCGAGGCUCAACCUCGGGCCUGCAGUGGGUACGGGCAGACUAGAGUGCGGUAGGGGAGAUUGGAAUUCCUGGUGUAGCGGUGGAAUGCGCAGAUAUCAGGAGGAACACCGAUGGCGAAGGCAGAUCUCUGGGCCGUAACUGACGCUGAGGAGCGAAAGGGUGGGGAGCAAACAGGCUUAGAUACCCUGGUAGUCCACCCCGUAAACGUUGGGAACUAGUUGUGGGGUCCAUUCCACGGAUUCCGUGACGCAGCUAACGCAUUAAGUUCCCCGCCUGGGGAGUACGGCCGCAAGGCUAAAACUCAAAGGAAUUGACGGGGACCCGCACAAGCGGCGGAGCAUGCGGAUUAAUUCGAUGCAACGCGAAGAACCUUACCAAGGCUUGACAUAUAGAGGAAACGUCUGGAAAC
This 956-nucleotide ribosomal RNA is filed under the name Microbacterium arborescens. RNAcentral's name for it is "bacterial SSU rRNA". It matches the Rfam family "Bacterial small subunit ribosomal RNA", at positions 41 to 1007 of the family's 1533-position model. The record is from RNAcentral. Lineage: Bacteria; Bacillati; Actinomycetota; Actinomycetes; Micrococcales; Microbacteriaceae.